UACAGGGGGUGCAAACGUUGCUCGGAAUUAUUGGGCGUAAAGCGCGCGUAGGCGGCUACUUAAGUCGGAUGUGAAAGCCCUUGGCUCAACUGAGGAAGUGCACCCGAAACUGAGUGGCUAGAGUACGAAAGAGGGUCGCGGAAUUCCCGGUGUAGAGGUGAAAUUCGUAGAUAUCAGGAGGAACACCGGUGGCGAAGGCGGGUCUCUGGGCCGAAACUGACGCUGAGGAGCGAAAGCGUGGGGAGCAAACAGG
Molecule: ribosomal RNA, 253 nt
Filed under: uncultured bacterium
Lineage: Bacteria
Description: partial 16S ribosomal RNA
Rfam family: Bacterial small subunit ribosomal RNA
Source: RNAcentral